GCUUAUUCUCAGCACUUGAGAGAGACAGCUCUGUAUGACCCAACCAUACCAGCUCAGUACCUGCAAGACUCUGCUCGCUGGGGUUCUUUCCAGUGGAGAGACAGACCUAUAAAUGGCAAAGAGUUUGUUGUGAACAGGCACAAAUUUGGUACAGAAGAAUCGUGGGAAAAAGUUGCAUGACAAAUAUGAAAAUUUGCAAGAUAAAAUAAUAACCUGAUCUCCAUGAAUCAAUAAAGAUUAUUUGCUGAACUUGA
Long non-coding RNA from Bombina bombina (fire-bellied toad), 254 nucleotides. RefSeq lists it as uncharacterized. The transcript has 2 exons. The record is from RefSeq and is a predicted model, not a curated record. Lineage: Eukaryota; Metazoa; Chordata; Amphibia; Anura; Bombinatoridae.